GAUGAACGCUGGCGGCGUGCCUAAUACAUGCAAGUCGAGCGAACAGAUAAGGAGCUUGCUCCUUUGACGUUAGCGGCGGACGGGUGAGUAACACGUGGGUAACCUACCUAUAAGACUGGGAUAACUUCGGGAAACCGGAGCUAAUACCGGAUAACAUUUGGAACCGCAUGGUUCUAAAGUGAAAGAUGGUUUUGCUAUCACUUAUAGAUGGACCCGCGCCGUAUUAGCUAGUUGGUAAGGUAACGGCUUACCAAGGCGACGAUACGUAGCCGACCUGAGAGGGUGAUCGGCCACACUGGAACUGAGACACGGUCCAGACUCCUACGGGAGGCAGCAGUAGGGAAUCUUCCGCAAUGGGCGAAAGCCUGACGGAGCAACGCCGCGUGAGUGAUGAAGGGUUUCGGCUCGUAAAACUCUGUUAUUAGGGAAGAACAAAUGUGUAAGUAACUGUGCACGUCUUGACGGUACCUAAUCAGAAAGCCGCGGCUAACUACGUG
This 497-nucleotide ribosomal RNA is filed under the name uncultured bacterium. RNAcentral describes it as "partial 16S ribosomal RNA". It matches the Rfam family "Bacterial small subunit ribosomal RNA", at positions 28 to 507 of the family's 1533-position model. The record is from RNAcentral.